RNAcentral lists this unclassified non-coding RNA (226 nucleotides) under plant metagenome. RNAcentral describes it as "partial contains small subunit ribosomal RNA, internal transcribed spacer 1, and 5.8S ribosomal RNA". The stretch from base 1 to 54 matches the Rfam family "Eukaryotic small subunit ribosomal RNA", at positions 1778 to 1831 of the family's 1831-position model. The record is from RNAcentral.
GGAAGUAAAAGUCGUAACAAGAUCUCCGUUGGUGAACCAGCGGAGGGGUCAUUACCGAGUUUACAACUCCCAAACCCAAUGUGAACUAUACCUGUCUACCGUUGCUUCGGCGGGUUCGCCCGCCGAGGGACCGACAAAUAAACUCUUGUAUUUCUAUCUUUAGCAUGUCUGAGUGGAAUCAUAAACAAAUGAAUCAAAACUUUCAACAACGGAUCUCUUGGUUCUG